CCAAUAGCGUAUAUUAAAGUUGUUGCAGUUAAAAAGCUCGUAGUUGAAUUUCGGGAUCAAUAUGUUGGUCGUGCCUCGGUACGUACUAGCAUAUUGGUUUCUCCUUUCUGAAGAACCAUGAUGUCAUUUAUUUGGUGUCGUGGGGAAUCAGGACUGUUACUUUGAAAAAAUUAGAGUGUUUAAAGCAGGCUCACGCUUGAAUACAUUAGCAGGGAAUAAUGAAAUAGGACGUUUGAUUCUAUUUUGUUGGUUUCUAGGAUCGACGUAAUGAUUAAUAGGGAUAGUUGGGGGCAUUAGUAUUCAAUUGUCAGAGGUGAAAUUCUUGGAUUUAUUGAAGACUAACUACUGCGAAAGCAUUUGCCAAGGAUGUUUUCAUUAAUCAAGAACGAAAGUUAGGGGAUCGAAGACGAUCAGAUACCGUCGUAGUCUUAACCAUAAACUAUGCCGACUAGGGAUCGGAUGAUGUUAAUUUUUUAAUGACUCAUUCGGCGCCUUACG
This 498-nucleotide ribosomal RNA is filed under the name uncultured Glomeromycotina. RNAcentral describes it as "partial small subunit ribosomal RNA". It matches the Rfam family "Eukaryotic small subunit ribosomal RNA", at positions 591 to 1092 of the family's 1831-position model. The record is from RNAcentral. Lineage: Eukaryota; Fungi; Glomeromycota.